UCGGAUAUGGUGUAACGGCUAACAUUGCCGCCUCUCAUGAGUCCGCGGCAGCUCGGGGUUCGAUUCCCCGUAUCCGAA
Molecule: transfer RNA, 78 nt
Filed under: Leucogyrophana mollusca
Lineage: Eukaryota; Fungi; Basidiomycota; Agaricomycetes; Boletales
Description: tRNA-Glu
Rfam family: tRNA
About the family: Transfer RNA (tRNA) molecules are approximately 80 nucleotides in length. Their secondary structure includes four short double-helical elements and three loops (D, anti-codon, and T loops).
Source: RNAcentral